CAGUCGAACGAACUCUGGUAUUGAUUGGUGCUUGCAUCAUGAUUUACAUUUGAGUGAGUGGCGAACUGGUGAGUAACACGUGGGAAACCUGCCCAGAAGCGGGGGAUAACACCUGGAAACAGAUGCUAAUACCGCAUAACAACUUGGACCGCAUGGUCCGAGCUUGAAAGAUGGCUUCGGCUAUCACUUUUGGAUGGUCCCGCGGCGUAUUAGCUAGAUGGUGGGGUAACGGCUCACCAUGGCAAUGAUACGUAGCCGACCUGAGAGGGUAAUCGGCCACAUUGGGACUGAGACACGGCCCAAACUCCUACGGGAGGCAGCAGUAGGGAAUCUUCCACAAUGGACGAAAGUCUGAUGGAGCAACGCCGCGUGAGUGAAGAAGGGUUUCGGCUCGUAAAACUCUGUUGUUAAAGAAGAACAUAUCUGAGAGUAACUGUUCAGGUAUUGACGGUAUUUAACCAGAAAGCCACGGCUAACUACGUGCCAGCAGCCGCGGUAAUACGUAGAUGGCAAGCGUCGUCCGGAUUUAUUGGGCGUAAAGCGAGCGCAGGCGGUUUUUUCAAGUCUGAUGUGAAAGCCUUCGGCUCAACCGAAGAAGUGCAUCGGAAACUGGGAAACUUGAGUGCAGAAGAGGACAGUGGAACUCCAUGUGUAGCGGUGAAAUGCGUAGAUAUAUGGAAGAACACCAGUGGCGAAGGCGGCUGUCUGGUCUGUAACUGACGCUGAGGCUCGAAAGUAUGGGUAGCAAACAGGAUUAGAUACCCUGGUAGUCCAUACCGUAAACGAUGAAUGCUAAGUGUUGGAGGGUUUCCGCCCUUCAGUGCUGCAGCUAACGCAUUAAGCAUUCCGCCUGGGGAGUACGGCCGCAAGGCUGAAACUCAAAGGAAUUGACGGGGGCCCGCACAAGCGGUGGAGCAUGUGGUUUAAUUCGAAGCUACGCGAAGAACCUUACCAGGUCUUGACAUACUAUGCAAAUCUAAGAGAUUAGACGUUCCCUUCGGGGACAUGGAUACAGGUGGUGCAUGGUUGUCGUCAGCUCGUGUCGUGAGAUGUUGGGUUAAGUCCCGCAACGAGCGCAACCCUUAUUAUCAGUUGCCAGCAUUAAGUUGGGCACUCUGGUGAGACUGCCGGUGACAAACCGGAGGAAGGUGGGGAUGACGUCAAAUCAUCAUGCCCCUUAUGACCUGGGCUACACACGUGCUACAAUGGAUGGUACAACGAGUUGCGAACUCGCGAGAGUAAGCUAAUCUCUUAAAGCCAUUCUCAGUUCGGAUUGUAGGCUGCAACUCGCCUACAUGAAGUCGGAAUCGCUAGUAAUCGCGGAUCAGCAUGCCGCGGUGAAUACGUUCCCGGGCCUUGUACACACCGCCCGUCACACCAUGAGAGUUUGUAACACCCAAAGUCGGUGGGGUAAC
This 1415-nucleotide ribosomal RNA is filed under the name Lactiplantibacillus plantarum. RNAcentral describes it as "bacterial SSU rRNA". It matches the Rfam family "Bacterial small subunit ribosomal RNA". The record is from RNAcentral. Lineage: Bacteria; Bacillati; Bacillota; Bacilli; Lactobacillales; Lactobacillaceae.